GACGAACGCUGGCGGCGUGCUUAACACAUGCAAGUCGAACGGAAAGGCCCUGCUUUUGUGGGGUGCUCGAGUGGCGAACGGGUGAGUAACACGUGAGUAACCUGCCCUUGACUUUGGGAUAACUUCAGGAAACUGGGGCUAAUACCGGAUAGGAGCUCCUGCUGCAUGGUGGGGGUUGGAAAGUUUCGGCGGUUGGGGAUGGACUCGCGGCUUAUCAGCUUGUUGGUGGGGUAGUGGCUUACCAAGGCUUUGACGGGUAGCCGGCCUGAGAGGGUGACCGGCCACAUUGGGACUGAGAGACGGCCCAGACUCCUACGGGAGGCAGCAGUGGGGAAUAUUGCACAAUGGACGGAAGCCUGAUGCAGCAACGCCGCGGGCGGGAUGACGGCCGUCGUGUUGUAAACCGCUUUCGCCUGUGACGAAGCGUGAGUGACGGUAAUGGGUAAAAAAACACCGGCUAACUACGUG
This 468-nucleotide ribosomal RNA is filed under the name uncultured bacterium. Its description in RNAcentral is "partial 16S ribosomal RNA". It matches the Rfam family "Bacterial small subunit ribosomal RNA", at positions 28 to 507 of the family's 1533-position model. The record is from RNAcentral.